Molecule: long non-coding RNA, 628 nt
Filed under: Marmota monax (woodchuck)
Lineage: Eukaryota; Metazoa; Chordata; Mammalia; Rodentia; Sciuridae
Source: RNAcentral
ACAGUUUGGUUGUCAAAUGGUUUCAGAGUGUAUAAUUGAUUUUUUUUUAAUGUUAAAUUGUUUGAAUCUAAAGUACAGCACUAUAACAUGCUUUAGCUUGGUGGGGGGAGGGGGGUACUGGGGGACUGCACUUAUUCUUUAAAAUGUUGACUAAUCCAAAAGCCUGAUACAACAUAACCUGGAAAACUGCCUUGGUAUAUUGUAGAAAUCUGUAGAAAUAACAUAUCCAGCCUCAAAGCAUUAAUCUCAAAAAGAAAAAGAAAAAAAAAAAAACAGCCAGAAAAAGCAUCACCUCAAGUGAUCCUGUGAUGGUUGUUGAAUGUGUUCUCAUUAGAUGCUUUGAAAUGAGGCUUAAAAUAAUUUUUCUAGGCAAUAUAGUUUCUUUUUUUGCUUAGAAUGUCAUCCAUACAUGUGAACACGUUUAAUGCAGGGCUUUUUAUCCUCUCCAAAAUGUCAACAGUAUUUUCAGAAUAAAGCCUAUGAAAUAUAUUGCUGUAGUGGAAAAUUCUGGUCCUUUGUCUUUAAUGUCUUUUUGAGUGGAUAAAGAAAAUUCACCCGGUUUGUAGUUUCUAUAUUUCCGUGAAUCUUUUGACCUUGCAAUGGGUUGCAAUAAAAGAGAAACAAAGCA